Molecule: long non-coding RNA, 267 nt
Filed under: Populus trichocarpa (black cottonwood)
Lineage: Eukaryota; Viridiplantae; Streptophyta; Magnoliopsida; Malpighiales; Salicaceae
Description: long non-coding RNA (PTRI_LNC003072)
Source: RNAcentral
CCUCUGUUGAACUUGCAGGAGAGCUUUACUAUAACAGUGGCAUCGAUUCUUCCCAUUUGUUUUGAACUGGCAGGCUUGCAGCUCCACAGGUAUGUAUCUCAUUUUCUCUGUUCUUUUAUUUCUCUGCGAAUUUGAAGUGUUAAAGACCUGAACUUUGCUAUGAAUAUUGUUGUGAAUGUUGCUGUGAAUAUUGCUCAAACAUGGAAAAAAAUGUGAUGAGAAAAGCUCUUGACUUGCUAUUCUAUUUUACUGUGAAUUUUGUUUUAC